Molecule: ribosomal RNA, 383 nt
Filed under: uncultured bacterium
Lineage: Bacteria
Description: bacterial SSU rRNA
Rfam family: Bacterial small subunit ribosomal RNA
Source: RNAcentral
AUUGAACGCUGGCGGCAUGCCUUACACAUGCAAGUCGAACGGCAGCACGGGGGCAACCCUGGUGGCGAGUGGCGAACGGGUGAGUAAUACAUCGGAACGUGUCCUGUAGCGGGGGAUAACCUCUCGAAAGAGAGGCUAAUACCGCAUACGACCUAUGGGUGAAAGAGGGGGAUCGCAAGACCUCUCACUAUUGGAGCGGCCGAUGUCGGAUUAGCUAGUUGGUGGGGUAAAAGCCACCAAGGCUACGAUCCGUAGCUGGUCUGAGAGGACGGCCAGCCACACUGGAACUGAGACACGGUCCAGACUCCUACGGGAGGCAGCAGUGGGGAAUUUUGGACAAUGGGCGCAAGCCUGAUCCAGCCAUGCCGCGUGAGUGAAGAAGG